RNAcentral lists this ribosomal RNA (253 nucleotides) under uncultured bacterium. RNAcentral describes it as "partial 16S ribosomal RNA". It matches the Rfam family "Bacterial small subunit ribosomal RNA", at positions 524 to 776 of the family's 1533-position model. The record is from RNAcentral.
UACGUAGGUGUCAAGCGUUGUCCGGAUUUAUUGGGCGUAAAGCGCCCGCAGGCGGCUUGCCAAGUCUGACGUGAAAUCUCCCGGCUCAACUGGGGGGGUGCAUCGGAAACUGGCAGGCUUGAGGCAGGGAGAGGGAUGUGGAAUUCCAGGUGUAGUGGUGAAAUGCGUAGAUAUCAGGAGGAACACCGGUGGUGUAAACGGCUUUCUGGACCAUAACUGACGCUGAGGCACGAAAGCGUGGGUAGCAAACGGG